AUACGAAGGGUGCGAGCGUUAUUCGGAAUUAUUGGGCGUAAAGGGUUCGUAGGUUGAAAUAUAAGUCAUGUGUGAAAUCACCGAGCUUAACUUGGUACGUGCAUAUGAUACUGUAUUUCUUGAGUGUUGGAGAGGGUAGUGGAAUUGUUGGUGUAGGAGUGACAUCCGUAGAGAUCAGCAGGAACAUCAGAGGCGAAGGCGACUACCUGGCCAAAUACUGACACUGAGGAACGAAAGCGUGGGGAGC
RNAcentral lists this ribosomal RNA (247 nucleotides) under uncultured bacterium. RNAcentral's name for it is "partial 16S ribosomal RNA". It matches the Rfam family "Bacterial small subunit ribosomal RNA", at positions 523 to 769 of the family's 1533-position model. The record is from RNAcentral.